Equus caballus (horse) is the source of this 2242-nucleotide non-coding RNA. The record is from RefSeq and is a predicted model, not a curated record. Lineage: Eukaryota; Metazoa; Chordata; Mammalia; Perissodactyla; Equidae.
GAGAAUGAAAGUGGGAGAAAUGGUUUACUUGUUUUGGAAUCUUUAACUAUACGCUCAUUGUGGGUGGAUACUCAUAUUAAGUAACUAGUCUGGCUUUUAUUUUCAAGUUCACUCUUCAAAUCUUUAUUCAGAUUCCUUUCUUCUAAAAUUGACAGUACAGAGGGAACAUCAUACAGAUAUUAAAACUAAGCAGAAUGCAUCCAUCUGGCAUGCCUUUCAGGAAUCCAGCCCACUAAUUUUUGCUAUGGGUUUGAUGACUCAACCCCCUAAGAUGCAGCACAGGGAAGAAUUUCCUCAUUUUGCAGAACUGCCAAAUCUCAUUCAUUGGAGAGAAGGCUCCUCACUUGGGGCUCAUUUUUAGACAGUUGUUUCUCUGUUUAAAUAUUUUUAAAGAUCUCCCUCAGCAGAAGGAGUUUGUCAUGAUUUUCUAAAUAGCGAGUAAACAUACUCCUCCUCGCAUCCCCCAUGAUGCUUCAGCCUUCUGGCCAUUGAGCCUAGCUUUAUUAUUUUUCUUCUCUCCUUCCGCCUUUUUUUUUUUUUUUUUUCACCUCAGCUACAUCUCUUGGCUUCAUCUGUUCCUUGGAGGCUACAAUGUCUUUUCUUCCAUUGGGACAUUUGUCUAACUUACUAAUUUUUUACAAAAAAAAUUUGUCUAAUUUUUUACUUGAAAAAAAUCCUCGCUUUAUUUUUGUCUUCUUCCUUUUAAAGCUGUUCAUCUAGGCCCCUCUUCACUUAUCCUCCACCUUCAUUUUUAAAUCCUAAUAAUUAACUUCUAGUUAGUGCAUAGCGCAGGCGCGAAGCCAAGCACCCUCCCAGCAUCCCCUCUCCCGAGGGAGGUACCUUUAUUAUCCUCCUGGACAGAGGGGAAACAAACGCACAGAAUUCAAGGAAUUUGCAGAAGGUCCUACAGCUGGGAGCGCCGAGGCUGAGCAUUAGACCCAACCAUCUGGCUAAAAGAAAAGUCUUUAAAAAGUUUUAUUAGAUACAAAGAAUAUUUGGAAAAUAUACGCAAAUGAUAAAAGAAGCGGAUCUCUCUCCCACCAUGGGUCAAGUUUUCCAGUUUUGUCCACUUUAGAAAGCAUCCUUUCCCUAGUUUCGAGCUUCUGGCCGUUGAACACGGCUGCUGGAGCCCCUCUCCCCACUGCGCUCGGCAAACGUGUCUUUUAUUAUGACUCAGCCCAGGCCGCUCCUUGCCAAGCGGCUGACGCUCGCGGCGGAGGGGCCGGGGCCGGCGCUCGGGGGCGAGGGCAGGCGCGCGCUCCGCCCGCUUUACGGCUGCUGAAAACCUGGCCCGCGCCCGGCAGCCGUACCGCAGACGAGCCCGCGCCCGCGCCGCUCAGAUCUCCCAGCUGGACACUGGAAAUAGCUUUUGAUGGUUUAGGGCCUCUUCCAUUUGACCCCAGUUGCUGCUGGUACGGAAUCCAGAGAGGUGAACAGAUUUCCCCUUCCUAAUAAUACAACCAUAGCCGCAGCAGCUGUGACUGAGGAGAAAGCAGAUCUAACAUCUCUUCAAGAGGGGACCCCCGAUUCAACAGACUUGUUCAUUAUCUGAAGGCUGUGAAGGAGAUUCACAGACUAAGAACCUUGGCAGAUCCUCUGGGGAUAGACAAACUAAAAGAUAAUAACAAUUUUCUUGUCAAUCAUGAGAUGGAUAAGGCUCCAGGAGCCUUCAGUCUUCUGAGAAUAGGGGCACAAACUAUAUUCUUUUUCAACCUAGCCUUCUGUAUAUAUUUUCUUGGUUCCUAAGAGGGAGAAGGGUGAAUGGGAAAUUGUGUUUAGAUUAGCUGGACAAAUAGAAAAGAGCAGUCCAUGACAGCUAAAAUCACAACAGACUACAAAAUAUUUCCCAAUUCAUGGUUCUACAGCAGCAUGUUAGUAUGAGCAUUCAGUAUAACUGUCUGCCGUAGCAUAGUGAGUUCAGAGACAGCGCUGUUGUCUUAGCUGAAGGAAAACUUGUCGUUUGAAGUUGGUAGCACAGCUGAUUGCAUGGAGCAUGGAAAUGAAAACAUCCCGACAUCUUUCUUACAGGGCACCUGAUGCUUGGAUGAGUUAAAUGGAACAAGACAGAGAUGCAAAGGUCACAUUGCACACUUAAGGACCCUUGGAGUAUUUUGGUUACUCUCUCAGGACUUGCUUUAAUAUAACACAUUUGGUACUUUUUUCUUCUUUUUCAGAAAGUUCAGUCUUAAUAGUCAUGAGUUUCAAAUUCUUAAGUCAGAAUAAAAUGUUAGCACAAACCAUC